UAGUAUCAAAUGAUAGUCACAAGGAAGAUAUUUCAGAAAGUGAGCCCAUCUUAUGCCAGUCUACCACUUUGCAUCAUUCUGAAGAAUCAUCAUCUUCAUGUGAAAUUAUAUCUAUAGCACGGGAUUGCGAUGAUUUAGAAGGUGUUCAAAUCGAUGAAACUUACCAUCUAGUUAAUCCAGAUCAACCUCAAUGCCGUAUUUG
Molecule: unclassified non-coding RNA, 202 nt
Filed under: Hevea brasiliensis (rubber tree)
Lineage: Eukaryota; Viridiplantae; Streptophyta; Magnoliopsida; Malpighiales; Euphorbiaceae
Source: RNAcentral